UACAGAGGGUGCGAGCGUUAAUCGGAGUUACUGGGCGUAAAGGGCGCGUAGGUGGUUGUGUGAGUGUGAUGUGAAAGCCCCGGGCUUAACCUGGGAGGUGCAUCGCAAACGACAUAACUGGAGUAUAUGAGAGGGUAGCGGAAUUUCCGGUGUAGCGGUGAAAUGCGUAGAGAUCGGAAGGAACGUCAAUGGCGAAGGCAGCUACCUGGCAUAAUACUGACACUGAGGCGCGAAAGCGUGGGGAUCGAACAGG
RNAcentral lists this ribosomal RNA (253 nucleotides) under uncultured bacterium. Its description in RNAcentral is "partial 16S ribosomal RNA". It matches the Rfam family "Bacterial small subunit ribosomal RNA", at positions 524 to 776 of the family's 1533-position model. The record is from RNAcentral.